GAACACCAAGUCCAACCCCCUCCUCCAGGAACUCUCCUGACCCCGAUCUACCCACCUCCAGCCCAAAGCGAAACCAGAACCAGAUUCCAAGGGCUCUACUUCCCUUAAGGAAUGGAGUCCGAAUUGGGGGUGGGUAGGUGUCUGAUAAAUUCAGGUCCUUUUUUCCCCCUCCCUUCUAACAGAAAGAAUAAAAGAAAGAACUAAACCAGGGCAGCACUGACCCCGUUCUUCCAAGAAGCCCGAAUGAAUUUGGCUGUGGUCACCCAUGCGACAGGCAUCUGACCCUCACGACCACCGCUGCCGGCCGCACCCGCGAAACUGACCAGAAAUGGGAGAAGCCGGAGUGCGGCGCGAACCCAAGCCGGCGGCUACCGGCUUGAAGGCGCGGGCCUCUGCAAGCGCUGCUCAGCUUCGAGCUUGGAAGAGCCUCCCACUCACCAACGAACCCUUCAAACACCGAGGCGCAGAUUGACCUCCGGACAGAGCAGCAGCCGACUGGGCUCUGUCCGCCCAUCCAAGCCAACACUGGCUCCCGAAUACAUCAUAAUUUGGAAUAAAAUGUGAAAUCCCGCUCCCCGCCCCCAUGCCGA
This is a long non-coding RNA of Marmota flaviventris (yellow-bellied marmot), 590 nucleotides long. RefSeq lists it as uncharacterized. The record is from RefSeq and is a predicted model, not a curated record. NCBI's taxonomy places the organism in Eukaryota, Metazoa, Chordata, Mammalia, Rodentia, Sciuridae.